RNAcentral lists this ribosomal RNA (441 nucleotides) under Triticum aestivum (bread wheat). RNAcentral describes it as "partial small subunit ribosomal RNA". Lineage: Eukaryota; Viridiplantae; Streptophyta; Magnoliopsida; Poales; Poaceae. The record is from RNAcentral.
AUGAAAGCGUGCUCGGCCCCGGGGCCGGAUGGCCUCCCGGUAGCCUUUUUCCAGAAAUUCUGGGAGAUCUUACGCCCGGUCAUUAUGCCCAUGUUCCAUGAGUUCUAUAUUGGAACCUUGGACAUGGCUAGGAUUAAUUAUGGUGGCAUAUCUUUGAUCCCCAAAGUAGUUGGGGCGACGGAUAUUCGGCACUUCCGCCCCAUCACGGUGAUCAACGUGUUGGAGCGAAUCUUUGCGAAGGUUUGCGCAACUCGCUUAUCCCCGGUGGCGGAAAGGAUUGCUCACCCCCUUCAGUCCGCAUUCCUGAAGGGUCGGCGGAUCCAUGACGGAAUUUUGCCCUUCACGAGAUCGUCCAUGAGGUUGCGUCGAAGGGACUUAAGGGGGUCUUCCUCAAAUUGGACUUCCAAAAGGCGUAUGACCGUUUGGACUGGUCCUUUUUGA